CUGACAUGUCUCUUGGGAAGAGUAACAUGAAGCUCAAAAUUUUGGGCGUAUUCAAUACUCCUAAAUAAAAAGGGAAUUGGUUUAUGGUCGAGUCAGUAAAAAUAAAUAACUAGGAAUUUUGAGUUGUACCUCGUGAAAAAAAGACUUCUUUUUUUGUGGAAUUAACCGUUCUCAUUUCUUUUAGUUCUUUUAGAAAGAAAUGAAAUUAUGUUCAUGAAAAAUGGUUACACAAAGGUACAGAAUGUAUCGUCAAAUAUUCAAUAUGAUUCCACAAGAUCUAGUUUCGUUCAAGUAACGGAUUCUCGCCAAUUGAAAGGAUCUUCUGAUCAAUCCAGAGAUCGUUUCGAUUCCAUUAGUAAUGAGGAUUCGGAAUAUCACACAUUGAUCAAUCAAAGAGAGAUUCAACAACUAAAAGAAAGAUCGAUUCUUUGGGAUCCUUCCUUUAUUCAAACGGAACGAACGGAGAUAGAAUCAGACCGAUUCCCUAAGUGCCUUUUUGGAUAUUCGUCAAUGUCUCGGCUAUUCACGGAACGUGAGAAGCGGAUGAAUAAUCAUCUGCUUCCGGAAGAAAUCGAAGAAUUUCUUGGGAAUCCUACAAGAUCCAUUCGUUCUUUUUUCUCUGAUAGUUGGUCAGAACUUCAUCUGGGUUCGAACCCUACUGAGAGGUCCACUAGAGAUUAGAAAUUGUUGAAGAAAGAACAAGAUGUUUCUUUUGUCCCUUCCAGGUGAUCGGAAAAUAAAGAAAUAGUUAAUAUAUUCAGAACUAAUCCAUAUGCUCCCAUUUUUAAUAAAAUUCUGGCUAGAAGCAUACAAGUACUGUAAUGGGCCUUCCCGUGGGUAUCCGGUAACCACGUAUGUAAGGGUAUAAUCGGUGAUUUGACAGCAAAAGCAAUAAGAAAUCCAAUAUAGAAUAUUAUUUCCAGUGCGACAGGAUAUGAUUGAUUAGCUAAUGUUUCAAAAUUUAAUGUUGGUUCAUUAGAACCGUAUAAAUCGAGACCCAAAACUCCUAUUAAUAGAAAAACGGAACCCCCUGCGGUGUACAAAAUAAAUUUUGUAGCCGAGUACAGACGUUUCUUUCCCCCCCCACAUGGAUAGAAGUAGAUAAACGGGAAUUAAUUCGAACUCCCACAUGAUGAAAAAAAGUAAAAGGUCUUAUUUUACUUUAUUUCAUAUAUAUAUAUUAGUUAAUAAUAUUAAUAAUAAUACAUUAUAAUAAUACAAUAUAAUAAUAAUAUUUAAUUCAUAAAUAUAUUUUACUUAAAUUAUAAGAAAAUAUUUUAUUUUAUUACAAGUGUAUUUAUAUAUAUUUUAUACAUGUACCAUUAAUCAUUAUACAAUUGUCUUCAUUUUAAUUUAUUUUAAUAAUAAUAAUAAUAAUAAUAAUAAUCAUAAUUUAAUAAUUUAAUAUAAAACUAUAAUAAUAAUGAUAAUAAAUAUCUAUUUAAUAACAAAUACAUAUAUCACAAUUGUACAUAUAAAUAUUUUUACAUUUGUAUAUUAUCAUAACCAUCCAUUUGUCCUUUUUUAUUUAUUUAUUUAUCAUACAAAAAUCUUAUAAUAUAAUUAUUUAAUUAAUAAAUAUCUUUUAACUUAAAUUUUGAGUAAAAAAAUAAUUAUAAUACAAGUGUAUAUAUAUACAUUAUUACACUUGUAUCAUCUUAUCACCAUACACUUGUCUUAAUUUAUUUUAUUUCAUAAUAUAAUAAUAUUAAUAAUAAUAUUUAAAUAAAAACCAUAAUAAUAAUUAUAAUAAUAAAUUGAUAACAGAAUCUCAAGAUUUUUAUACUCAUUAACCGCCUUAUUCUAAGCAAUUAGUCUAAUUGUUUAUUUAGCCCCUUAAGUUUUUCUUUAAUCUAUAAUUAAACUUUUGCCCUUUAUGUAAUUUAAUCCUUUUUCCUAAUUUCUCCUAAUUAAGUUAAAUUCACCUAACUAAUGCCUAAUUAAACAUACUACUAAACUCAUAAAUAUUUCUAUUAAUUAUUUACGAAUUCUGUUUAUUAAGAUGGAGGCCCGAUAAUGCACUUUUCCAAUGCCAGUGAAUUUUGGGUCAUUACAAUGACACCAUGUCUUGAGACUUGUACCUCAAUUUUAAGAAUUUAACUUCAUUAUUUUAUGUCUUGAGACAAUGUAACCAUGUUUCUUGACUUGACACAUUAUGUCUCAAGACAAACUUGCAAUAUCUCGAGACUUGACCUAGAAAUGCAUGAAUCUCAUGAAAUUGUUCUUGAGGUCUUGAGACAUGUGCUUGAUAUCUUGAGAAACAUGCAUAGAUAUGUGAAAAUUAAGCAUUACAAGUCAUGCAUUAGAGUCUCUAAAUUUACCUAAACAUGUCCAACAUGCAAUCAAUCCAUUGCAAACAUAUUUGAUAUACUUAAACAAGUUAAAACAUGGUUAUUAACAUAAUGGAUAACAAACUCACAAGGUAAGAAAAUUGUAUCACUUAGAGGCAUGCAUAGACCAUGCAAUUUUGCAUCACAACCCAAAUCCAAAAGUGUUCAAAAGUCCCCUAAAAAAACCAAAAUGUACCAAAUGUGCCAAAUAUCUAAAAAAAAACCACAUAGAAACAUACUUAAGACAUGAAAACUCAAAUCGCUCAGGUUAUCAAUAUUUUAGUUCAACAACAUUAAAUCAUAUUAAUUAUUUGGCCCCUAUUAACCAAUUAUAGAGCGAAGAACAAAUACACAUAGUAAUACCUUAACAUGCCAAAUAGUUGCGCACAAGCACCAAAUUGACAAAUAUAGACCAAUGCAAGUAAAACAAAACCGCCCUUAACAUACUAAUAAUGCACACAAGUUCCAAAUAUGAAUGUCCACAAGUGCCAAUGAUAAUUCACACAAGCUUUGUUACACCCAUAUCUCGUUUUCGUCUCCAAAAUAGUGUUACAGAGCAUUAUCGUACAAUUCAGAACUUUUUAUAACAAGUAGCAUCCAAUUAUCAAAUGAAUUUAACAAAUACAUAUAUAAUUCAAAAUAGAAUAAAACAUACAUUCGCGAACCUUAAAUCGAGCCUACGAGGCCUCAAAAAUAGUUUAGGAAAAAUCUGAGACCAAUUCGAAAUAAAAUAGGAGAUUUGGGACAAAAAUGAAAAUUUUCAAAAAUAAGGGUCACACGGCUGUGUGUCUAGGCCAUGUGACAAAGCCUAGAUCGUGUGGCUCAAAAUAUGGUUUUAUGGCUACUCCACAAGCUCGUGUGCACACUCGUGUGUCCACCUAUGUAACUCACUGACUUAAGUUACACGGUCAUGUCGCAGGCUAUGUGCCAGCCCAUGUGAAUCCUGCACCUAACAUGCUUGAGGCACACACCCGUGUAGGUUGCCCGUGUGUGCCCAAAAGUGACCCAAAAAAUAUUCAUUCCACAUCCAAAUGCUUAGGUACCUAAACACAUCAAAAGUACAUGCAUACAAGCCCACAAAAAACAUUCAAAGGCACUCAAAUUAUGAAAAAACGAUCAACUUAUGUACUUAGCCAAUGUUCCAUCAUUGACAUCGCAAUUCAAAUGCAUAAAUUUCAUUAUCUUAUUUAAAAUGCAAAAGCGACAACACACUCAAACUGACUUACAUUUAAACCCAAAUAUACCAUACCUAACUCAUGCCAACUUACAAUUUCAUGCUCACCUGCUUAUGCUUAAACUUAGAAUUUGGCUUGCAUAUAUAACCAUUAGUUAUUCAAAUAAUUUAAAUUAGAAUCUCAAUUCAUAAGUAUAUAACCUAGUGAUUAGCAGUCACACAAAUAUCAUACCAUAUUGAAUGUUAAGACUUACACUUUCCUAUUUCUAAUCAACCACAACUUGUAUCAUGUAUGCACAUAUCAAUAGCCAUUUAGCUAAACAACAUGAUAAGCACACCAAGCUAUAUAACAUGAGUACUUAAGGACUAUUACAAAACAAACUCAAAUCCCUCCCAUUACAUGCCAUAUAAGCCAAGUUCGAAUUCAAAAUCUAUCAAGAUCCUCGAUAGUGUAUUUCUUCAUGUUGGUCCGAUCUUCGACUUCUCAAAAUAGUAUCUACAAGGAAACAAA
RNAcentral lists this long non-coding RNA (4015 nucleotides) under Gossypium barbadense (sea-island cotton). RNAcentral describes it as "long non-coding RNA (GBAR_LNC000363)". Lineage: Eukaryota; Viridiplantae; Streptophyta; Magnoliopsida; Malvales; Malvaceae. The record is from RNAcentral.